CUCCUCCUCUUCCUCGGCACGCAGCUCCGGAGCCUCCGGCGCCGGCAGCGGCACGAGGAGGCGCCCAACGAGAUCAAGGAAGACGCCGUGGCUCCCAAGCCCUUCGCGUGGCCCAAAGGCGCCGCUUCCGACGGCGCCUCCCGGACCAGCACCCUGUCCUCGGCACCGGG
This is a long non-coding RNA of Nothoprocta perdicaria, 170 nucleotides long. RefSeq lists it as uncharacterized. The transcript has 2 exons. NCBI's taxonomy places the organism in Eukaryota, Metazoa, Chordata, Aves, Tinamiformes, Tinamidae. The record is from RefSeq and is a predicted model, not a curated record.